GACGAACGCUGGCGGCGUGCUUAACACAUGCAAGUCGAACGGAAAGGCCCUGCUUGCAGGGUACUCGAGUGGCGAACGGGUGAGUAACACGUGGGUGAUCUGCCCUGCACUUCGGGAUAAGCCUGGGAAACUGGGUCUAAUACCGGAUAGGAGCCAUUUUUAGUGUGAUGGUUGGAAAGUUUUUUCGGUGUAGGAUGAGCUCGCGGCCUAUCAGCUUGUUGGUGGGGUAAUGGCCUACCAAGGCGGCGACGGGUAGCCGGCCUGAGAGGGUGGACGGCCACAUUGGGACUGAGAUACGGCCAAGACUCCUACGGGGGGCAGCAGGGGGGAAUAUUGCACAAGGGGCGCAAGCCUGAUGCAGCGACGCCGCGUGGGGGAUGACGGCCUUCGGUUUGUAAACCCCUUUCGCUAGGGACGAAGCUUUUUGGGACGGGACCUAGAGAAGAAGCCCCGGCGAAUUGCGU
RNAcentral lists this ribosomal RNA (464 nucleotides) under uncultured bacterium. RNAcentral describes it as "partial 16S ribosomal RNA". It matches the Rfam family "Bacterial small subunit ribosomal RNA", at positions 28 to 506 of the family's 1533-position model. The record is from RNAcentral.